RNAcentral lists this ribosomal RNA (253 nucleotides) under uncultured bacterium. Its description in RNAcentral is "partial 16S ribosomal RNA". It matches the Rfam family "Bacterial small subunit ribosomal RNA", at positions 524 to 776 of the family's 1533-position model. The record is from RNAcentral.
UACGUAGGGGGCAAGCGUUGUCCGGAAUCAUUGGGCGUAAAGAGCGCGUAGGCGGUCCGGUAAGUCGGUUGUGAAAACUGGGGGCUCAACCCUCAGAGGCCGACCGAUACUGUCGGGCUAGAGUCCGGAAGAGGCGAGUGGAAUUCCUGGUGUAGCGGUGAAAUGCGCAGAUAUCAGGAGGAACACCAAUGGCGAAGGCAGCUCGUUGGGACGGUACUGACGCUGAGGCGCGAAAGCGUGGGGAGCAAACAGG